GGAAGUUCCCAGCUGACUUUAAAGAGCUGAGUUGUGAUUCUCCCUGCUGUCCUCCACAGUUCAAACUAUUGUAAACAGGAGUACAAUAAAUGCUUAUGUUAAAACAUGAAGGUACAGGACUGAAGAGAUGGCUCAGAGGUUAAGAAGUGCUGACUGUUCUUCCAGAUAUAUGAGUUCAAUUCUCAGCAAUCACCUGGUGGCUCACAACCAUCUAUAAUGAGAUCUGGUGACCUCUUCUGGCCUGUAGGCAUACAUGCAGACAGGAGGCUGGCAUAACUGUCUUCUGAGAAGCUUCAUCUGAUGAAAAAAGAUACAGAGACCCACAGCCAAAGAAUAGGCCAAGCUCAGGGAGUUCUGUGGAAGAGUGGACUGAAGGACAGAGGGAGCUGGAGGGGUCAAGGACACUACAAGAAGACCUACAGAGUAAACUGACCUGGGCUCAUGGAGGCUCACAGAGACUGAACCA
Molecule: long non-coding RNA, 466 nt
Organism: Psammomys obesus (fat sand rat)
Lineage: Eukaryota; Metazoa; Chordata; Mammalia; Rodentia; Muridae
Exons: 3
Source: RefSeq, a predicted model, not a curated record